This is a long non-coding RNA of Oncorhynchus keta (chum salmon), 2862 nucleotides long. RefSeq lists it as uncharacterized. NCBI's taxonomy places the organism in Eukaryota, Metazoa, Chordata, Actinopteri, Salmoniformes, Salmonidae. The record is from RefSeq and is a predicted model, not a curated record. The transcript is spliced from 4 exons.
AGCUCAGAGCUUACAGAGCCCUCAAAUAUUGACCAGGGAGCGGGUAAUGCCUUCUGGAGGUGAGCUCCGAGCUUACAGAGCCCUCAAAUAUUGACCAGGGAGCGGGUAAUGCCUUCUGGAGGUGAGCUCAGAGCUUACAGAGCCCUCAAAUAUUGACCAGGGAGCGGGUAAUGCCUUCUGGAGGUGAGCUCCGAGCUUACAGAGCCCUCAAAUAUUGACCAGGGAGCGGGUAAUGUCUUCUGGAGGUGAGCUCAGAGCUUACAGAGCCCUCAAAUAUUGACCAGGGAGCGGGUAAUGCCUUCUGGAGGUGAGCUCCGAGCUUACAGAGCCCUCAAAUAUUGACCAGGGAGCGGGUAAUGCCUUCUGGAGGUGAGCUCCGAGCUUACAGAGCCCUCAAAUAUUGACCAGGGAGCGGGUAAUGCCUUCUGGAGGUGAGCUCAGAGCUUACAGAGCCCUCAAAUAUUGACCAGGGAGCGGGUAAUGCCUUCUGGAGGUGAGCUCCGAGCUUACAGAGCCCUCAAAUAUUGACCAGGGAGCGGGUAAUGCCUUCUGGAGGUGAGCUCAGAGCUUACAGAGCCCUCAAAUAUUGACCAGGGAGCAGGUAAUGCCUUCUGGAGGUGAGCUCAGAGCUUACAGAGCCCUCAAAUAUUGACCAGGGAGCAGGUAAUGCCUUCUGGAGGUGAGCUCCGUGCUUACAGAGCCCUCAAAUAUUGACCAGGGAGCAGGUAAUGCCUUCUGGAGGUGAGCUCCGAGCUUACAGAGCCCUCAAAUAUUGACCAGGGAGCGGGUAAUGCCUUCUGGAGGUGAGCUCUGAGCUUACAGAGCCCUCAAAUAUUGACCAGGGAGCGGGUAAUGCCUUCUGGAGGUGAGCUCUGAGCUUACAGAGCCCUCAAAUAUUGACCAGGGAGCGGGUAAUGCCUUCUGGAGGUGAGCUCUGAGCUUACAGAGCCCUCAAAUAUUGACCAGGGAGCGGGUAAUGCCUUCUGGAGGUGAGCUCUGAGCUUACAGAGCCCUCAAAUAUUGACCAGGGAGCGGGUAAUGCCUUCUGGAGGUGAGCUCAGAGCUUACAGAGCCCUCAAAUAUUGACCAGGGAGCGGGUAAUGCCUUCUGGAGGUGAGCUCCGAGCUUACAGAGCCCUCAAAUAUUGACCAGGGAGCGGGUAAUGCCUUCUGGAGGUGAGCUCCGAGCUUACAGAGCCCUCAAAUAUUGACCAGGGAGCGGGUAAUGCCUUCUGGAGGUGAGCUCCGAGCUUACAGAGCCCUCAAAUAUUGACCAGGGAGCGGGUAAUGCCUUCUGGAGGUGAGCUCUGAGCUUACAGAGCCCUCAAAUAUUGACCAGGGAGCGGGUAAUGCCUUCUGGAGGUGAGCUCUGAGCUUACAGAGCCCUCAAAUAUUGACCAGGGAGCGGGUAAUGCCUUCUGGAGGUGAGCUCUGAGCUUACAGAGCCCUCAAAUAUUGACCAGGGAGCGGGUAAUGCCUUCUGGAGGUGAGCUCUGAGCUUACAGAGCCCUCAAAUAUUGACCAGGGAGCGGGUAAUGCCUUCUGGAGGUGAGCUCUGAGCUUACAGAGCCCUCAAAUAUUGACCAGGGAGCGGGUAAUGCCUUCUGGAGGUGAGCUCUGAGCUUACAGAGCCCUCAAAUAUUGACCAGGGAGCGGGUAAUGCCUUCUGGAGGUGAGCUCAGAGCUUACAGAGCCCUCAAAUAUUGACCAGGGAGCGGGUAAUGCCUUCUGGAGGUGAGCUCUGAGCUUACAGAGCCCUCAAAUAUUGACCAGGGAGCGGGUAAUGCCUUCUGGAGGUGAGCUCAGAGCUUACAGAGCCCUCAAAUAUUGACCAGGGAGCGGGUAAGCCUCGACGGUUACAUGAGUGUUGACUGCAAACCUGUUGAGGCUUUACAAACCUAAUGUUCCCCCAAUCACAGGGGGCCCUGUGAGUAAACUGUGGGACAGCUGCUGAGGCCCCUAUUGGCAGUGACUCAAGCGUGGCCAAGAAGGAAGGGUCUGUGUUGUUGACCAAUCCAAUGAAGGGAGUCCUCAGAGGUCUAUUUGCGAAAGACAGACACCGCUCAGAAAAAGGCCUCCAAUUUUGAGAAGGACGGCUCUGGAAUGCAGCCACAAACCCAGUCCCCUGGGGGAAAGGCAAUACACAGAAUCGGACAGGAUCGGUAUAGAGGCCAGGCCUGAUAGUUUUAUAAAAGCGAUACCUAACUAGUGUAAGUACGGCUGGUCACAAGAACUCACUGAAUAAGCCUCUUUGCUUUUCCAUGGGCUCUGCCCCUGCCUUCCUGCUACUAGGAGGAGUUGGAACGUGGCCAACCAUAAAAUCAAGCAGUCUGAUCAAUGGAAAUCUUGAGCAAACCCCAAGCUUUAGAGUGUGAGGGGUCAGGUAGGCUAUUACAUCAGAACCAAGGGGGCUAUCGCAUGGCAGCCUUACACACAUGUAUUUAACGAGCAUAUAAAAUAAGAUCUAAGAAAAAGAUUGUUGCAGUAGUCAACCCCUACACGUGUCCAUGUUUCACUGGUUCUGAGAAGUGACUGGCAAAUAGCCCUCUUUGGACACCAAACCAGUGGGUGCAUCUUUAUAUUAGAAAGUGGCUUCCUCUCCAUCUCUCCUUCCCAUCAUCUCCUUCCAUACAUUGGAGAAGUCAGUGACAUGGAGAGGAUCUCUUCUCCUUUGUUCUGAGAGUUGACCAAAUGAAGAUCUCCACUCCUUUGCUCUGAGAGGUGGCCAAAUGAAGAGCUCUUCUCCUUUGUUCUGAGAGGCGACCAAAUGAAAGGAGGAAGAUUAGAAGGAGCCACUUCAGAGUACUGAGACGUACCCCAGCAGGUAGGCCAAGUCAGAUUGUUCUGAGUGCCCAGCUGUGAG